CAAGUUGUUUGCUAACUAAAGAACUGGUUUGUGUUUUGUUUCUGUGAAAAUCUACACCCUUGGGAGCAGUACCUUUGUGUUAACAUCUCCUAAGUGUGUAAAGAAAAACACAGGAACCCGUGAUUUCAAGGAAACACGGAGUAGAUGAGUGCAGGAUUUGACGAGUUCGGAUCCCAUUUUGAGGCGUCUUUCUGCCAGAAACCACCUGAUGAUCUUGGGAACGCUACAUGCCAUCCCUAAAGGAAUCUCUGGGUGGAGUAGAAGCUGUCAUGACAAUAGACGCUGGAGAAGAAGAUACAAUCUCCUCAAUGAGAGACCUUGGCAACAGCCAGGCCAGUAAGGAGUGGCUGCUACUGCUACUGUUUCUUAGACUAUUGAUUAAGCUACUUGUAACCAUGGCAAUGAUCUUGUCUUCCUGGAAAGGUUAGCAGGGUAGGAUGGGCAGUCCACUAUGGUAAAAAAAGAAAUGUUGAAAUGAAGCAGUGCUCUUAACAGUUCUUUUCUCAUGUCACUGAACAGAAAUUGACAGUUUCUUACCCUAAACUUUUCAUCACUCUAAAGAAAAUCCACCCAGAUUCUUACACCACAUUCUCAAGGCAACAUGGGAAAGCUUCAAGGUACAGGGAAGAAGGGGACUGAGGUGAUAGGUACACAGCUCUUUUCUUCUACGGAAUUCGGAAUAUUGUUUUUAUUUGCUCUUCACUACAAAGGGAGCUAUCUCUUUGACUCCUACUGAUGAGAAAUGCAAGUUAAUUCUUCUGACAAAUAUUUGCUAUACAACUACUUAUUUGCACCUACUCGGAGUUACAACAGCUGAACUGCCUUGUUCUAGGAGGCUACUGUCUAAUUGUCUCCAGGCAGGAAGCCCAAGAGAGAAAGUCUUAGAGGAACUCCACUCAAGGGGAAUUUCAGUAAAUGCAGGGGCAGUUCAAAUGCAAGGUGAACCAUAAUUUACACACAUAUCCAUUGAUCAUGAGCAUUUGUGGCGAUUGCUAGAGACAUAAAAGUAAAUAAGAUACAUUUCCUGAGCACAAAAAAACUUUUGCCUAAUAAAAAGAGAAUACAAAGGUAAGAAACAUGGGCAUAUCUAAAAUAAUCAAAAUUAAAACAAAAACGUAACUUAAAACAACAAUUUGGAAUGGCCAGAGGAUCCUGUUUCACAAAGGUUUUGCAUAAAUUGAUUGGGAUAUGCUCUUGUCUUGUCCAAUCUUUCUUCUUGAAACCAUCUGAUUGAUUCGACUUCAUAGGUCCAACACUAUCUUAAAGCCCAAACCUCAAACUAUCUUGUGCUCCAUUUUUUCUAAUAUUCCUGUUAUCCCAUCACCUCACAGCCGAGAUGAGGCUAGGGAGGCUCACUUUGCUCUUGUGGCGUCUCCUUCUGAUGUCCCUGGCAUAAUACCCCUUCAAUCUGACUUGGUCUCCAGGACUCUGUCCUAAGUCUAGCCCAGGUGUUCAGUUUGUCCUGGUUUACACCAGGCUGUAGACAGAGAGUAUCACGCUGGCUCUAGCCCAAACCCCUACAGCUAUCAUCAGAAUUCUCUAAUCAUCUCUGCAACCUUCCUCUGUCCUACACAUCUUAGCAUUUUUGACUGAUAAGAUAGGGCACAAACCAUCAUAUUAGCUCAUUUUCCAAAAUUGAAUCUGGUCCUGUAGACCUUGGAAAAAUAAUUAUUUCUUUUCAUAAUAGGCUGUGACUAAAUCUGACAUGCCGGUGGACAAUGGCCCUUAAACCUUCAAAGAAAGCUACAAAACAAGUCGAAUAGUAACGAGUCCUAUUGAUAAAUUGUAGCUCUAAGCUGCAAAAGUGCUUAUUCCUGACCAAGAGCCCUGCAAUUUAUUUUACUUCAUUAGAUGCUGAAUCCUUCAAAAAAACUGCUGGAAUUCCAAAAGCUUUGAAUCUAAUUAUUAUAAGCAUGUUUAAUCAAACUUUUAAAACUACUUGGAGUCUAAUGCUGAAAUCUAGAUGAGAUUAUACCUCUCUGACAUGCAUAUGUUAAUAUAAUUCCAAAUCUCUGUGAAGACAUGAAAUAGACCAAACAUUUAAGACAAAGCAAUAGAGUACAUUCCAUUUUACAACAUUCUCCACAGAUAAUUCUUGUCCUGGCCAUUACUGACAUUCUAUUCAUCUUCUCCAGAAAAUCCAAUGUAAAGAAAACAAAAAAGAGCAUCUUAAUAAUAGAGCUACAAAUAAAAACUAUAAUCUUAGCUUUGGAAAAGGCUUUGCAAGCUCAAUUCAUUGUGUGAUGUCUGGAUUACCUCUACUAUACUCAUGUCAGGGAAUCAUCCAACCUACACAUGAAUAUUUUCAGCCUCAUGGUGUUGUCAAUUCCAUCUCUGCAUAUCCCUGAAAAGGCUUCCGCCUUUUCUUAUAUAAACUUCUUUUAUAACAAUUUUGAGCUCAUAUUCACACAUAAGUGCACGCUGCAUAAGAUGAGGUUCAAGAACUGAACACACAGCCUAAUUCAAUUUGGAAAGGGCCCCGUGAGCCACUCGGUAUAUAUUUCACAAGUGUCCUCAUGCUCUAAAGCCAAGAACAAGUUAACAACAGCUAAAUUUCAAAUUCUUGCCAGAGGCACCCAAAGGCAGUGCUUCCUCAACUUUUCAGUCCAGGACAUCCCUAUGAUCACUGUUACAGUAUUCCUUUGAUGGUCACGGUAGUAGCAGGAAGCAGACUCUCUCUAUUCUUUAGUUACUUAGUUCAGUCCUCUUCUUGGCCGCACGAGCCUGCAUAAGCACUCACUGAGCACAUGUAAACACAUACACACAAGCACACAGACUGGGUGUUCCAUAAGCAAAACUCACACGCAUGCAUACACCCACAGACACACACAUGCACACACACACACAGAAAAACUUCCUUUCUUUCUCUGCUAUGGUCACCACCAUCUCUACACUUUAACUUCUAAGUUAUAACUGGACAAACCUCUCUUGAGGACACCCUAAAUGAACAUCCCACAUCCUGUCAGUUCAACAAUGUUUUAUUGAAAUCCAAUAUUUUAACACCCUGACUGGAUGACAGAAAACACCUGAGCGCAUCCUUCCUGGUGAAGGCAGACAGCUGGGGAGAGCUGGGGAGAGCUGGAGAAAUCAAAGUCCUCCAGCUUGGAGGGCUCCAGAGAUCCACAUUUCUCACUUGACACAAAAUAACUUAUUUUGUUCAUGUGGUAAAGAAAGCCUCUGGCUGGCAAGACCAGGACACUGGGACAAGUGUCCUUUGGAUCUUCCCUAAAGCAAGGUCUGAUGAAGAGAAAGCAGAGUGGGAUGGUUAAGUUACAGGCAAAACUCAGAAUGAAGGCAGUGGGUGAGGCCAAAUGGUGCUUUCACUGCAAAAUGGAGUCAGAAACUACAGAUUUCCAAGAAAUGUCUUAAUUUUAUUUUACUUUUUUUUUUUUGCAUUUUAUUGUUUCAUUUAUUUCACUAUGGUGAAAGAAGUGAAAUCCUUAAAAUAAAAAAGCAUCUAUGUGUGUAAUUGGUUGGAAGGAAAAUAGGGCUUUUAAGAUCAAGUCUAUCAUGCAGGCUAAUGAACCCCCAAAAUGCAAAAGGAAGUGUAGGGUAUAAGGGGAGGGCACUACAGAAGAAUCUGAGAUGCUAAGACCCUGUUGUCCUUUGACCUACGUCUUUGCUUUAUUGGUUACUCCUUUCUUUGGCUUCCAGAGAAACCCUCAAUGAAAGUGAGAACAUAGAUUGUCUUUCGAAUCUAGUUUGACAUUUUUCAACAACCUUCCCACUUUUGCUCGCACAACUCUAGAAGAGAAGAAUUUUAAAAACUGGCAUGCACUGUGAGAUCUGGAAUUUACAGAACUCCCCCACUAAGAAAAUCAACUUUGGAAAACCCAGCUAAGGAGGGGAAAAUACUUCCUCUAAAACGGUACAUGCCAAAGAACUUUUCAUGGGCCUCCUGGAGAGGGUAAUAGGUCUUCCAUGCAUGGAUGUUUGUAGGGUCUAAUCAGGAUGGGAAACACUGAGUUAAAUCGAGUGAAAUGGGUUUAUUUUCAACUCCACUUAAUUUGCUGUUGUCUAUUAUAAAUUUCCAAGCAGGAGUAGGAACCUCAUAUGCACAGAAACCUCUGUCUGAGAAAGAAGCACUAACAGAAGAGUUACAGGUCUCAGUUCACAGUGAUUUAAGCCAGACAAAGUCUCAGGGUCUUUCAAAUAUGUUUAGUGUUCUUCUUCUUCUAAAGAUAAAGUGGCCCAAAUGACAGCUCUUGCUUUGCUGAACAACUUCACCUUUUAAUCCUUUCUUUCUUUUCUCCCAUAAUUGAACAAAUACCAAUUGAGCAUCUAUGUGCAAAUCAUCCUGUCUUAAUUUAAAACAAAACCAAAAUAAUAACCAAAGUACCUACUCAAGGCAAAUGUUUUUUAAAGAAGAAACAAACCACAGAAAGUAUAUUGUAUUUAUUCCCAAUAUAAUAGCUUACAUUUAAAGAUACAGUACAGACUUAACGAAUAUGUCUACUCCCACUAAUUCCACAGAUACAUGCUGAACCCAUAAUAUUUACUCAUGCAAAUAACCAAUAAGGGACAAAACAGCUUUAGGCCAAAAGGUGGCCUGGUCCUGUCAACAGGAAGGUUAGCAGUGAGGUUCAGAGGCCAGUCUUUGAUUCCAGGCUCAGACGUCUCACACGUAAAAUAUAGAUAAUUAUAUAGUGUUUGCCUUGUAGAAAUCAUAUAUGGAUUUAAUAAGAUGAUUUCAGUAAAACACAUAGCAGACAGUGAGCCCUGAAUAAAUAGCAAGUAUUAUUAUUAUUGGUUAUACUUAUCAACUCUAGUUUAAACAGGAAUUUUAUUCCUCCUCCGAAACAGUAGGAUGAUGACAUCUUAAAUAAUGAGCUUUUCUGAAAUUAGGGACACUUUCAGAGGUUUCUUGUCCUGCUGGAAAGCACAGCCACCUUUCCAUGAACAAAAAUGGUCUCAGAACUGUUAGUUCCUUGCCCCUGAGAACUGGGUGGUCAGCAAGAAGUGAAGCAAUUAGUGUGUGAUUCCACCCACUCACAUUCCUCCUAGUUAAAACUUCAUAACUACUUUCAAUUGUAUGAAAGAGCAAUAAAGUGAGGCCGGGGAGAGAGAAAGAAAGAG
Long non-coding RNA from Sapajus apella (tufted capuchin), 5076 nucleotides. RefSeq lists it as uncharacterized. The transcript has 2 exons. NCBI's taxonomy places the organism in Eukaryota, Metazoa, Chordata, Mammalia, Primates, Cebidae. The record is from RefSeq and is a predicted model, not a curated record.